RNAcentral lists this ribosomal RNA (250 nucleotides) under Taenia crassiceps. Its description in RNAcentral is "partial small subunit ribosomal RNA". Lineage: Eukaryota; Metazoa; Platyhelminthes; Cestoda; Cyclophyllidea; Taeniidae. The record is from RNAcentral.
UUUUUAGGGGAAGGUGUGGUGUAAAGGAUGUUCCGCCUAUUAUUUUACUUUUAUUAUGUUGGUGUAUAUCUGAUUUAAUAUUAUUGCUUAAUGGUUAAAGUUUGUGUAUAUUUAUUUAAGUCAAGUCUAUGUGCUGCUUAUAAAAGUAUUCAUGCGUUACUUUAAUAAUAUGUUAGAUGAAAUAUUAAUUGAUUUAGGACUUAAUAGUAAUGUUUAAUUAGUUUGUAAAUGUGAAUAUAGUUUAGCUCAU